ACACGUGCAAAUUUGAGUCUGGUAAUACAGUUGAGUCAAACUCCGGCGAACUAGGGCAGCGGUUUGGGGGUUUCCACAUCUGAGCUACCUAGCCUAAUUUCUUUGUACCGGAGGACUCACCCAGACGAAAGAACAUCUUUUAUUGAAUUCUUGAACGAACAAUCGGCAAUGCAGUAAUGGACAAUAUAUUGAAUGAUUCUAUUCUUUUUCUUUAUGGUAAAAAUUGUUCUCAUUUAUCUAACUUAUUUGAGAACUGUGCAUCUCAACAACACCUGUUCUUUUAGAGACUCGUAAACAACAGUUCUGUGUUCAUGCAGUCUCCAUCAUCAUCAAUAAUCUACUAUCUAAUAUUCUUAUCCAUGUAGAUUCCCAUUUCCACUGCGAAAAAGUCAUCUAUCAGAAGAAGAAAAAAUUGUUUUUUAUAUUUAUUUCUUCAACAUGUGCA
Molecule: long non-coding RNA, 445 nt
Filed under: Zostera marina
Lineage: Eukaryota; Viridiplantae; Streptophyta; Magnoliopsida; Alismatales; Zosteraceae
Description: long non-coding RNA (ZMAR_LNC004467)
Source: RNAcentral